Molecule: ribosomal RNA, 380 nt
Filed under: uncultured eukaryote
Lineage: Eukaryota
Description: partial 18S ribosomal RNA
Rfam family: Eukaryotic small subunit ribosomal RNA
Source: RNAcentral
CAAUAGCGUAUAUUAAAGUUGUUGCAGUUAAAAAGCUCGUAGUUGGAUUUGUGGCGUACGGUGUGUUCCGGGCACUUGUUGUCUGAGUAACCUGCUGUUGCCAUCCUUGGGUGGAACCUGUGUGGCAUUAGGUUGUCGUGCAGGGGAUGCACAUCAUUUACUGUGAAAAAAUUAGAGUGUUCAAAGCAGGCUUAUGCCGUUGAAUAUAUUAGCAUGGAAUAAUGAGAUAGGACUUUUUUGCUAUUUUGUUGGUUUGCGCAAAGAGGUAAUGAUUAAUAGGGACAGUUGGGGGUAUUCGUAUUCCAUUGUCAGAGGUGAAAUUCUUGGAUUUUUGGAAGACGAACUACUGCGAAAGCAUUUACCAAGGAUGUUUUCAUUAA